This is a non-coding RNA of Cordylochernes scorpioides, 69 nucleotides long. The record is from the annotation of a GenBank genome assembly. NCBI's taxonomy places the organism in Eukaryota, Metazoa, Arthropoda, Arachnida, Pseudoscorpiones, Chernetidae.
UGUUGCAUGUGGGAAUCGAACUCACAGUGUUCCGCUUACCGGGGAGAUGCCAUGUCCACUAGGCUACCC